CCUACGGGAGGCAGCAGUGAGGAAUAUUGGUCAAUGGGCGCUAGCCUGAACCAGCCAAGUAGCGUGAAGGAUGACUGCCCUAUGGGUUGUAAACUUCUUUUAUAUGGGAAUAAAGUGCAGUAUGUAUACUGCUUUGCAUGUACCUUAUGAAUAAGGAUCGGCUAACUCCGUGCCAGCAGCCGCGGUAAUACGGAGGAUGCGAGCGUUAUCCGGAUUUAUUGGGUUUAAAGGGAGCGUAGGCGGGUUGUUAAGUCAGUUGUGAAAGUUUGCGGCUCAACCGUAAAAUUGCAGUUGAUACUGGCAGCCUUGAGUACAGUAGAGGUAGGCGGAAUUCGUGGUGUAGCGGUGAAAUGCUUAGAUAUCACGAAGAACUCCGAUUGCGAAGGCAGCCUGCUGGACUGUAACUGACGCUGAUGCUCGAAAGUGUGGGUAUCAAACAGGAUUAGAUACCCUAGUAGUC
This 460-nucleotide ribosomal RNA is filed under the name uncultured bacterium. RNAcentral's name for it is "partial 16S ribosomal RNA". It matches the Rfam family "Bacterial small subunit ribosomal RNA", at positions 338 to 795 of the family's 1533-position model. The record is from RNAcentral.